AUGAACGCUGGCGGCGUGCCUAAUACCUGCCAGUCGAGCGAACAGACGAGGAGCUUGCUCCUCUGACGUUAGCGGCGGACGGGGGAGUAACACGUGGAUAACCUACCUAUAAGACUGGGAUAACUUCGGGAAACCGGAGCUAAUACCGGAUAAUAUAUUGAACCGCAUGGUUCAAUAGUGAAAGACGGUUUUGCUGUCACUUAUAGAUGGAUCCGCGCCGCAUUAGCUAGUUGGUAAGGUAACGGCUUACCAAGGCAACGAUGCGUAGCCGACCUGAGAGGGUGAUCGGCCACACUGGAACUGAGACACGGUCCAGACUCCUACGGGAGGCAGCAGUAGGGAAUCUUCCGCAAUGGGCGAAAGCCUGACGGAGCAACGCCGCGUGAGUGAUGAAGGUCUUCGGAUCGUAAAACUCUGUUAUUAGGGAAGAACAAAUGUGUAAGUAACUAUGCACGUCUUGACGGUACCUAAUCAGAAAGCCACGGCUAACUACGUG
RNAcentral lists this ribosomal RNA (496 nucleotides) under uncultured bacterium. RNAcentral's name for it is "partial 16S ribosomal RNA". It matches the Rfam family "Bacterial small subunit ribosomal RNA", at positions 29 to 507 of the family's 1533-position model. The record is from RNAcentral.